UACUUACACGAGUCCGAUAGCAAACAAGUACCGUGAGGGAAAGUUGAAAAGUACUUUGAAGAGAGAGUAAACAGUGCGUGAAACCGUUCAGAGGUAAACGGGUGGAGUUGAACUGCGAACUCUGAGAAUUCAACUGAUAAGCGUGGUUUGCGCUCGGGCUUAUUGGCCAGCCUUCUGUGUCUGUCUAACGACAGGUGCCUGCUCCGCCGGCGGGUAUGUGGGAUGCACUUAUCACGUGCCACACGCAUUGGAGGUGAGUGGUCUGCUUGUCAGUGCACUUUCUCAGGGUGUUCACCACGACCGGCAUUGCUGUCUGUCUGCUUUGGUCGAACUGAUCAGGUCUGGUCAUUGCUAGGCUUGGUUGGGAUAGAAGGUAGCUCAUUUGUUCAUUUUAUGGACUGUGAGUGUAAUUAGCUGACCAUAGUGGAUCUGUACGGUAUGCUGGAGAUGACGGCUUUGCAUACGUGCUCUGCCUUCGGACGGGAUUAAGUUCGGCCGGCUUGUUACCAGCCUAUGUUGGUCCGUCGGUGGCUUGAUUCUGUUCUGUUGGCGGUUGCGUGUGUGACAUGGUAUGGGCCAAUAGUCUGUGGUGUUGUGGUAGACGAUCCACCUGACCCGUCUUGAAACACGGACCAAGGAGUUUAACAUGUACGCGAGUCAUUGGGCGUUACGAAACCCAAAGGCGAAGUGAAGGUAAAGGUUCGGCCUGUCCGGACUGAGGUGAGAUCCCGUUGUUUUGCCAAGUAAAUUUUCGAGAUGCGAGCAUCGGGCGCAUCACCGGCCCGUCCCAUGACGUAGACAUGUGACUUCGUGUCGUGUGCACCGUCGGGGCGGAGCAAGAGCGUACACGUUGAGACCCGAAAGAUGGUGAACUAUGCUUG
This 881-nucleotide ribosomal RNA is filed under the name Carettacola hawaiiensis. RNAcentral's name for it is "partial 28S ribosomal RNA". It matches the Rfam family "Eukaryotic large subunit ribosomal RNA", at positions 321 to 839 of the family's 3401-position model. The record is from RNAcentral. Lineage: Eukaryota; Metazoa; Platyhelminthes; Trematoda; Strigeidida; Spirorchiidae.